Molecule: ribosomal RNA, 433 nt
Filed under: uncultured bacterium
Lineage: Bacteria
Description: partial 16S ribosomal RNA
Rfam family: Bacterial small subunit ribosomal RNA
Source: RNAcentral
AACGAACGCUGGCGGCAUGCCUAACACAUGCAAGUCGAACGAGACCUUCGGGUCUAGUGGCGCACGGGUGCGUAACGCGUGGGAACCUGCCCUUAGGUUCGGAAUAACUCCCCGAAAGGGGUGCUAAUACCGGAUAAUGUCUUCGGACCAAAGAUUUAUCGCCUUUGGAUGGGCCCGCGUUGGAUUAGCUAGUUGGUAGGGUAAAAGCCUACCAAGGCGACGAUCCAUAGCUGGUCUGAGAGGAUGAUCAGCCACACUGGGACUGAGACACGGCCCAGACUGCUGCGGGAGGCGGGAGUGGGGAGUAAGGGAAAAGGAGAGCAAUGCUGAACGUCCGAGGGCGCGAGAAUGGAGAAGGCGGUAGAGGGAGAAAGCGCUGUUGCCCGCGCUGAGAAAGACAGUACGGGGAAAAGAAGCAACGGAUAACUUCGGG